Molecule: small RNA, 148 nt
Filed under: Pongo abelii (Sumatran orangutan)
Lineage: Eukaryota; Metazoa; Chordata; Mammalia; Primates; Hominidae
Description: Metazoan signal recognition particle RNA (ENSPPYG00000034167.1)
Source: Rfam by way of RNAcentral
GCCGGGCGCAGUGGCGGGUGCCUGUAAUCCCAGCUACUCGGGAGGCUGAGGCAGAAGAAUCGCUUGAACCCGGGAGGAGGAGGUUGCAGCGAGCCAAGAUUGUGCGACUGCACUCCAGCCUGGGCAACAGAGUGAGACUCUGCCUCAA